GAUGAACGCUGGCGGCGUGCCUAAUACAUGCAAGUCGAGCGAACAGACGAGGAGCUUGCUCCUCUGACGUUAGCGGCGGACGGGUGAGUAACACGUGGAUAACCUACCUAUAAGACUGGGAUAACUUCGGGAAACCGGAGCUAAUACCGGAUAAUAUAUUGAACCGCAUGGUUCAAUAGUGAAAGGCGGUUUUGCUGUCACUUAUAGAUGGAUCCGCGCCGCAUUAGCUAGUUGGUAAGGUAACGGCUUACCAAGGCAACGAUGCGUAGCCGACCUGAGAGGGUGAUCGGCCACACUGGAACUGAGACACGGUCCAGACUCCUACGGGAGGCAGCAGUAGGGUAUCUUCCGCAAUGGGCGAAAGCCUGACGGAGCAACGCCGCGUGAGUGAUGAAGGUCUUCGGAUCGUAAAACUCUGUUAUUAGGGAAGAACAAAUGUGUAAGUAACUAUGCACGUCUUGACGGUACCUAAUCAGAAAGCCACGGCUAACUACGUG
Molecule: ribosomal RNA, 497 nt
Filed under: uncultured bacterium
Lineage: Bacteria
Description: partial 16S ribosomal RNA
Rfam family: Bacterial small subunit ribosomal RNA
Source: RNAcentral